GAUAUCGGAUUGAGUCCAAAACUUGGGGAACAUCAUAAUAUUGUGGGCCGGAGUCAUUUGGUGGGUUUUGAGUGAAAUACAAUCCCUAGAACUAUACAAUACACCAACCACUGCAUUUCAGAACGAACUUCGUACGAACCUGAAUUCUCAAAUUUCGUGUACCGAUCGAUAUCGGAUUGAGUCCAAAACUUGGGGAACAUCAUAAUAUUCUGGGAGGAGUCAUUUGGUGGGUUUUGAGUGAAAUCCAAUCUCUAGAACUAUACAAUACACCAACCACCCCAUUUCAGAACGAACUUCGUACGAACUUGAAUUGUCCGAUUUCAAGCUCCAAUCGAUAUCGGAUUGAGUCUAAAACUUGGGGAACAUCAUAAUAUUGUGGGAGGAGUCAUUUGGUGGGUUUUGAUUGAAAUCCAAUCUCUAGAACUAUACAAUACACCAACCACCCCAUUUCAGAACAAACUUCGUAGGAACCUGAAUUGUCCGAUUUCAAGGACCAAUCGAUAUCGGACUGAGUCCAAAACUUGGGGAACAUCAUAAUAUUGUGGGAGGAGUCAUUCGGCGGGUUUUGAGUGAAAUCCAGUGUCUAGAACUAUACAAUACACCAACCACCCCAUUUUAGAACGAACUUCGUACGAACCUGAAUUGUACGAUUUCAAGGACCAAUCGA
This 667-nucleotide long non-coding RNA is filed under the name Prunus persica (peach). RNAcentral describes it as "long non-coding RNA (PPER_LNC008761)". Lineage: Eukaryota; Viridiplantae; Streptophyta; Magnoliopsida; Rosales; Rosaceae. The record is from RNAcentral.